GGACUACCCGGGUAUCUAAUCCCGUUCGCUCCCCUAGCCUUCGCGCCUCAGCGUCAGGUACGGCCCAGGGGGCCGCCUUCGCCACGGGUGUUCCUGCUGAUCUCUACGCAUUUCACCGCUACACCAGCAAUUCCACCCCCCUCUACCGACCUCUAGCCAAGUAGUCUAAAGUGCACCCUCCCCGUUGAGCAGGGAGAUUUCACACCUUACUUACUCCGCCGCCUGCGCGCGCUUUACGCCCAGUAAAUCCGGACAACGCUUGCAUCCUACGUAUUACCGCGGCUGCUGGCAC
This 292-nucleotide ribosomal RNA is filed under the name uncultured bacterium. Its description in RNAcentral is "partial 16S ribosomal RNA". The record is from RNAcentral.